Molecule: ribosomal RNA, 500 nt
Filed under: uncultured bacterium
Lineage: Bacteria
Description: bacterial SSU rRNA
Rfam family: Bacterial small subunit ribosomal RNA
Source: RNAcentral
CUGGCGGCCGUGCUUAACACAUGCAAGUCGAACGGAGAUUCAGCAAUGGAUCUUAGUGGCGAACGGGUGAGUAACGCGUAGGCAAUCUGCCUUCUAGAUGGGGACAACAUCCCGAAAGGGGUGCUAAUACCGAAUGUUGUACCGUUUCCGCAUGGAGAUGAUACUAAAGGUGGCCUCUGAAUAUGCUACCGCUAGAAGAUGAGCCUGCGUCUGAUUAGCUAGUUGGAGGGGUAACGGCCCACCAAGGCUUCGAUCAGUAGCCGGUCUGAGAGGAUGAACGGCCACACUGGGACUGAGACACGGCCCAGACUCCUACGGGAGGCAGCAGUGGGGAAUCUUCCGCAAUGGACGAAAGUCUGACGGAGCAACGCCGCGUGAGUGAAGAAGGUUUUCGGAUCGUAAAGCUCUUUCGUUAGGGACGAACGUGCUCUUUGUGAAUAAUGAGGAGUAAUGACGGUACCUAAAUAAGAAGCCACGGCUAACUACGUGCCAGCCGCCGC